CCUUUCUCAGUGCAACAGGAUGUGAAGAAUUCUGAAACGUUUGUAGAUGUUAAAAACGUACAAGGAGGAUUUCAAAUGAGCUCAAACGGAGCCCCCUCUUUCGCAUGCACAUAUAUUAUCCGACGGACGUCAAUCUGCGACACAUAUGUUCACGGAGCUACGCAGGGGUUGUUUUCAAACCACAUGCAAAUGUUUUCAAAGGGGAGUCUGCAGGAAACACGUUGGCAAGAAGUCCCACGAGUGAACGGAAGUAUUGUAGCCGAGGAGGAGCGGCGCCGCAUGGGGCUCUGGCAGUGGUGGCGACCGUUUAAUCACAACGUAACCUGCUUCGUCAACUAUUUUACUCUGUUCACUGAGUCAGAGAAUGGAAAUUUUGAGGUCGACUGGUGUUGCCUGUUCCGGACAGUUCCGAGCACAAAGUUCUAGAGCGAGGGAUGGGCGGCGGGUCCGGG
This is a long non-coding RNA of Gasterosteus aculeatus aculeatus (three-spined stickleback), 452 nucleotides long. Lineage: Eukaryota; Metazoa; Chordata; Actinopteri; Perciformes; Gasterosteidae. The record is from Ensembl.